GUAUGAGCUUGCCUUUAAAUACCCAAGGCUUCCUGUCCACUAUGUACUUCGAGUUUCAUUCCAAACGCUCGUGCUUAACGUGGCGUUUAGGUAACCAUGCUGAAAAAGAUGACAAUCCUUUCAGCGCUGCUGGCUCUGAUUCUGGUUGAUCUGCUAAAGGCACAAGGUACCCCUGUUACCCCUGUGCUUGAGGAAACGAGCGUGGAGCAACGCAGAGAUGCCAGCAUGCAACCAAGCACAGAGCUCCCCCAGGACUACAGCAGAGACCCAUACAAGGAGGAAGGCACAGAGCAAGUUGGGAACACUGGAGCGCAAGGAGGCGAACAGGCCACUUGGGAGCUGAGCGGAGAGCCAAGUACUGAGCCUACGCCUGAGACAAGUGUGGAGCCAAGCAAAGAACCAACCCAGCAGUCAACUACUUAAAUAUCUGAAUAAACUGCAACAUUAAAUCUUGAUGGAAAAGCAGCAGCCGCACGUACCUGCAGAGUUGAUUUCACCACAAAAGCACACACACGCAGUGCCUGCAGCAAGUUGGACAGUGGAGCAGUUCCUAAAACUACAGCUUGCAGGAAAACUGUAACCAAGGCCUUCGA
Grus americana (Whooping crane) is the source of this 593-nucleotide long non-coding RNA. RefSeq lists it as uncharacterized. NCBI's taxonomy places the organism in Eukaryota, Metazoa, Chordata, Aves, Gruiformes, Gruidae. The record is from RefSeq and is a predicted model, not a curated record. The transcript has 3 exons.